GUCUCGGGCCUGUGCAACAUGCCCUUCGAACCAUGUCAGGUCCGGAAGGAAGCAGCAUUAAGAAGGUUAGCGUGUGUGCCGCAGAUUCCCCGGGACCU
This 98-nucleotide signal recognition particle RNA is filed under the name Acidobacteriota bacterium. RNAcentral describes it as "Acidobacteria bacterium signal recognition particle sRNA small type". It matches the Rfam family "Bacterial small signal recognition particle RNA". From Rfam's summary of the family: The signal recognition particle (SRP) is a universally conserved ribonucleoprotein involved in the co-translational targeting of proteins to membranes. Archaeal SRP consists of a 7S RNA and homologues of the eukaryotic SRP19 and SRP54 proteins. In most bacteria, the SRP consists of a 4.5S RNA and the Ffh protein (a homologue of the eukaryotic SRP54 protein). The record is from RNAcentral. Lineage: Bacteria; Pseudomonadati; Acidobacteriota.